CAAUCUGCACUGCAAAUCCCAACUACUAUGGCUCACCGUCGAUCCUCUGUAUCGUCAGUUACCCGGCGGUUUAUGAUGUGAUCGACUUCUGUUGCUGAAGAAAAUUGGAAGGUAGGAACUCGCCAUUUGUGGAGCUGAGGAUGAAAAAUAAUCAGCAAGCAAAAAUCGAAUAAGGCAAAUGAUGGAAACUUACGUCAAUAACAGAUGGUGUCACAAACUGGGAUUUCAUGGAGACAUUUUUCUUGAAUAGUGGCUCAUCUAACCUUCUUUAAAAUAUUACACACACAGCUCGGGUAUUUCUAAACUGUUUCUCUCAAAUUAUCAUCUGCCAUGUGUCAUUAUUUUAUUGGUUUGAUCAUUUCCCAGUAUGUUCUAGGUGCAUUUAGGGCCUAAAUUUAAUUGAAUAGUAAAGUAAUCUGAGAAUGAUUUGGUUAGCUAAAACCAUAAUGUGGAUUCAAUUAAAGCUGCUGAUGAAUGUGCUGUUUGCCCUUUUUCCAUUAA
Molecule: long non-coding RNA, 501 nt
Organism: Cynara cardunculus var. scolymus (artichoke)
Lineage: Eukaryota; Viridiplantae; Streptophyta; Magnoliopsida; Asterales; Asteraceae
Exons: 4
Source: RefSeq, a predicted model, not a curated record